GUUUUACUUUUUCUUGGUUUUCUUUAGCAAGAAAGUAAGCUAGCUAGCUAUCUUGUGGGUCUGCUUCUGUAAUGGAGUGAACACAGUUUCAAUGAUCUCUAUGGUACCACUCACAUGCACUAGUCCAGCUAGCUUUUUACCUCUCUUCCAGAUUGCCUAAACGUAACUCGAAAGCAAAAAUCAAACUGAUCAGAGCAAGCAAAAGCUGCAAAAACACAAGCAUUCUUGUUGUUUUCGCAAAGGGUACUAUACCCAAUUCCUUUAUAUAACAUAUAUCAAUCCACUGACCUCUAGCUAGGUCUCAUACCCUUUUUUCAAUUCUUGCCUAUCUAGCUAUAGUGCAAUGGGUACAAUCCCGUAUGAUUCUGAUGGCAUCACAAAUCAAUUUGAUAUGAUUUGGCAAGUAUUGAAAGUACCAAUAAUCAUACCAGCAUUGAAAUUAUUGGUGAUAAUGUGCUUAGUAAUGUCAAUAAUGCUCUUCAUUGAAAGGGUGUAUAUGGGCAUUGUUAUAGUUUUUGUGAAGUUGUUAGCGAGGAAAGCUAGCAAGAGGUACAAAUGGGAGCCCAUGAAGGACGAUAUUGAGCUUGGAAAUUCUUCUUAUCCAAUGGUUCUAGUUCAAAUUCCAAUGUACAAUGAAAAGGAGGUUUAUCAACUGUCAAUAGGAGCUGCAUGUGGGCUUUCCUGGCCGUCUGAUCGAAUCAUAAUCCAAGUACUUGAUGAUUCAACUGACGCUGGCAUUAAGGUUCCUAUAAUUAACUCAAUCUUGCUAUCCUAGUUCUCCCCUGGGGUUUCAAGGUACUUGUACCCUGUGCCCAAAAUGUUGCACCUUGAUUUUGGGUAAAAGUUUAUAUUUAGUUCACCAUAGACCAGGGUAAUUAGGCUUUGUCAGGGGUCGAUUCCGUCCUAAACUGGAUUGGAAUUGAUUUCGAUCGAACUAGGAAUUGACAUGAGUCAACGGUUCAGUAAAUUAGAUUGGCCUCGAAUCGGAUUAUUGGGAGGGGCUGCUCCUGAGGCUCUGAAUCAGAACCAAAUUGAAUUCGACAACUCAAAUCAUCGAUUUUGGCCCAAUUCAAACUAGAUUGAAAAAAAAAAAAAGGUAUGUGGCAGCUUUAAAGAGUACUGCAUGGAUUAAAUUAUUUUCAAACAGGAACAAAAUUGCCAAAAUUGACAUUGAAAUGGCUUUUAAAUUGGACCAAAACUAGAUCAAAACUGAUUAAAAAUCAGAACCAGCUAAAGUCGGUUGAUCUGAAUCACCAAUUUUGAUCCAAAAUCGACCCAGCCCGAACCCCUUGCCGGCCCUAGGGGUAGUUACAAGUGGGAGCUCUAGAUCCAACACCCUACCCUUCUUAAAAAAAAAAGUUAAAAAAAAAAAUGGAUUAGCAUUCCAAUAAUUGAGAACAAUCUCGGCAUCUUCCUCCUUUUCUAAUAAAUUAUUUAUUCAAUUUAAGCAAAAAAAAUUAGCAUAAUUUGGUGCUUGUGUUUUGUUGGUUUUGGCUCAUAUAAAACAGAGCUUGGUGGAAAUAGAAUGCCAGAGAUGGGCAAGCAAAGGCAUAAAUAUAAAGUACGAGAUAAGGGACAACAGAAAUGGGUACAAGGCGGGAGCUCUUAAAGAAGGAAUGAAACACAGCUAUGUGAAACAUUGUGACUAUGUAGCCAUUUUUGAUGCUGACUUCCAGCCUGAGCCUGACUUCCUUUGGCGUACCAUUCCUUUUCUUCUCCACAAUCCUCAGAUUGCUCUUGUUCAAGCUCGCUGGAAAUUUGUUAAUGCUGAUGAAUGCUUAAUGACAAGGAUGCAAGAAAUGUCACUGGAUUACCAUUUCACAGUGGAGCAAGAAGUGGGCUCUUCGACCUAUGCCUUCUUUGGAUUCAAUGGAACUGCUGGUGUAUGGAGAAUUUCAGCUCUCAAUGAAGCAGGAGGAUGGAAGGAUAGAACAACUGUGGAAGAUAUGGAUUUGGCUGUCAGGGCAAGUCUAAAAGGCUGGAAAUUCGUUUAUAUUUCUGACCUCAAGGUGAAAAAUGAAUUACCAAGCACAUUCAAAGCGUACAGAUACCAGCAACAUAGAUGGUCUUGUGGCCCUGCAAAUCUCUUCAAGAAAAUGGCGAUGGAAAUAGUAAGAAACAAGGUAAAUGCUCUUUCAAUUUUCAUAUUCAUUUACACAUUUUUUGGUUCAUUUGGCUCUGAUAGGGACUCAAAUUUUGAGCUUGAAACCUAAAGACAAUUCAAAUAUUUAUAUUUUAGACUAUCUUCGUACUUUAACUACUGUUAUCAUGUACUAUCUUCUGCAGAAAGUGUCAAUGUGGAAGAAGUUUUAUGUGAUCUACAGCUUCUUCUUCGUUCGUAAGAUCAUUGCUCAUAUGGUCACCUUCUGGUUCUACUGUGUUGUUCUUCCAUUAACUAUUUUGGUUCCUGAGGUUGAAGUUCCAAUCUGGGGAGCUGUUUAUAUUCCUUCCAUUGUCACUAUUCUAAAUUCAGUAGGAACUCCAAGGUCAAUUCACUUACUGUUCUAUUGGAUUCUGUUUGAAAAUGUGAUGUCCUUGCACCGAACAAAGGCGACAUUUAUCGGUCUGCUAGAAGCAGGAAGAGCUAAUGAAUGGGUUGUCACUGAAAAACUGGGAAAUAAACUUCAGAAAAAUGCAGAUGCUUCCAAGAACAAAACCAAUGUCAAAAUGUUUAAAAGACCUCGGUUGAAAAUCAUUGACAGGCUCAACACAUUGGAGCUGGGAUUUGCAGCAUUCCUUUUCUUGUGUGGAUGUUAUGAUUUUGUUCAUGGCAAGAACAACUACUUUGUAUACCUUUUCCUCCAAACUAUUACCUUCUUUAUCACCGGAAUCGGCUACGUCGGCACCAUUAUCCCCAGCUCUUAGCUGCAACUGCAGAAGCUACUAGUGACAAGGAAAAAUUGGCGCAGCCCUUUUCGUGUUUUUCAUGUUGUGUUUAUGUUUGUUUCUACUCUGCGACACAAUAUAUAAGUGGGGAUACAUCAGCAAAUAUAGAUUGCAAUUCCUACUAUUUAAGAUCAUUUAAGAAAAAUAGGUCAUUCAAUAUGCUUGGCAACAGAUGCCAUUCUCAAAAGAAUUAAUUCUGAAUCACUCAAGUGAAAGUAGAGGGAAAAAGAAAAUAGUAGAAGAGAAAAUGCUGUUAUUUUGCAAACGCAUCAUACAGAAUCAAGGACAAAAGAUGCCAGCAGAAACAGCAUAUUCUUUAGGCAAAAAAUAAUGAAAUUUCAUUUAGAUAGAUUGCUUGUAAUUGUGAGAUUCUGUUCCCCUUUUCCCUGUUUUCCAAUUGUUAGUUUCUCCUUAGUUUCAGCAGAACAAUCUGAUGAAAUGAAAGGGUGUUUUUGUAAUCAAAGUUCAUUUAAUUAUUGUUUUUACUUUUCAUAUAUGUGCUUCUUUUUCUUUUGGAUUGUAUUACAAAGGGAUUUCUUAAGUACUAGAGUCGUCUCCAUUGCAAUAAGAU
This 3457-nucleotide unclassified non-coding RNA is filed under the name Hevea brasiliensis (rubber tree). Lineage: Eukaryota; Viridiplantae; Streptophyta; Magnoliopsida; Malpighiales; Euphorbiaceae. The record is from RNAcentral.